UGGGGAAUAUUGCACAAUGGGGGAAACCCUGAUGCAGCAACGCCGCGUGAGUGAAGAAGGUCUUCGGAUUGUAAAGCUCUGUUGUACGGGACGAUAAUGACGGUACCCUACAAGGAAGCCACGGCUAACUACGUGCCAGCAGCCGCGGUAAUACGUAGGUGGCCAGCGUUGUCCGGAAUUACUGGGUGUAAAGGAUGCGUAGGCGGAUAUUUAAGUCAGAUGUGAAACCCCCGGGCUUAACCCGGGGCAUGCAUUUGAGACUGGAUAUCUUGAGUGCAGGAGAGGAAAGCGGAAUUCCUAGUGUAGCGGUGAAAUGCGUAGAUAUUAGGAAGAACACCAGUGGCGAAGGCGGCUUUCUGGACUGUAACUGACGCUGAUGCAUGAAAGCGUGGGGAGCAAACAGGAUUAGAUACCCUGGUAGUCCACGCCGUAAACGAUGGGUACUAGGUGUGGGAGGUAUC
RNAcentral lists this ribosomal RNA (461 nucleotides) under uncultured bacterium. RNAcentral's name for it is "bacterial SSU rRNA". It matches the Rfam family "Bacterial small subunit ribosomal RNA", at positions 355 to 833 of the family's 1533-position model. The record is from RNAcentral.